RNAcentral lists this transfer RNA (74 nucleotides) under Candidatus Dojkabacteria bacterium. RNAcentral's name for it is "tRNA-Asp". It matches the Rfam family "tRNA". From Rfam's summary of the family: Transfer RNA (tRNA) molecules are approximately 80 nucleotides in length. The record is from RNAcentral.
GGGAUUGUAGCUCAACUGGUUAGAGCACACGCCUGUCACGCGUGAGGUUGCGGGUUCGAGUCCCGUCGGUCCCG